This 82-nucleotide transfer RNA is filed under the name Minisyncoccota bacterium. Its description in RNAcentral is "tRNA-Leu". It matches the Rfam family "tRNA". From Rfam's summary of the family: Transfer RNA (tRNA) molecules are approximately 80 nucleotides in length. Their secondary structure includes four short double-helical elements and three loops (D, anti-codon, and T loops). The record is from RNAcentral. Lineage: Bacteria; Bacillati; Minisyncoccota.
GCCGAAGUGGCGGAAUUGGUAGACGCGCACGACUUAGAAUCGUGUGAGGUAACUCAUGGAGGUUCAAGUCCUCUCUUCGGCA